RNAcentral lists this ribosomal RNA (429 nucleotides) under Verrucomicrobiota bacterium. RNAcentral's name for it is "Verrucomicrobia bacterium partial 16S ribosomal RNA". It matches the Rfam family "Bacterial small subunit ribosomal RNA", at positions 355 to 776 of the family's 1533-position model. The record is from RNAcentral. Lineage: Bacteria; Pseudomonadati; Verrucomicrobiota.
UAGGGAAUCUUCGGCAAUGGGGGGAACCCUGACCGAGCAACGCCGCGUGAGUGAAGAAGGUUUUCGGAUCGUAAAGCUCUGUUGUUAAGGAAGAACGAGUGUGAGAAUGGAAAGUUCAUGCUGUGACGGUACUUAACCAGAAAGGGACGGCUAACUACGUGCCAGCAGCCGCGGUAAUACGUAGGUCCCGAGCGUUGUCCGGAUUUAUUGGGCGUAAAGCGAGCGCAGGCGGUUAGAAAAGUCUGAAGUGAAAGGCAGUGGCUCAACCAUUGUAGGCUUUGGAAACUGUUUAACUUGAGUGCAGAAGGAGAGGGUGGAAUUCCAUGUGUAGCGGUGAAAUGCGUAGAUAUAUGGAGGAACACCGGUGGCGAAAGCGGCUCUCUGGUCUGUAACUGACGCUGAGGCUCGAAAGAGUGGGGAGCGAACAGG